This 1394-nucleotide long non-coding RNA is filed under the name Daphnia pulicaria. RNAcentral's name for it is "uncharacterized LOC124313628, transcript variant X1". Lineage: Eukaryota; Metazoa; Arthropoda; Branchiopoda; Diplostraca; Daphniidae. The record is from RNAcentral.
UAACAUUAGAAUGUUUAAAAUCAUAAUUUGGGCAAUCGAAAUUUCGAAAUUAUUAAGUCAGUUCAAAAGUGAAAAUAAUCGAAAAACUUAGGCAUCACUGCUGCCGCUGUUGCCAUUGCAAUCUUUAUUAAAAAGCAGACGAUCACUUCACGAGGACGGUCAGCUGGCGAACGUGAACGUUUCGAAAGUUAAAUCUACAUAGCUAUUCCCUACUCAGCAAUUAUGAACAAGGUGUAAGAGAAGCAGUUGUUACAACCACGUACGUCGUAUCCUUAUCAGGCAGCUGACGGGGAACUGUAGGUGAAGAUUUUGAUCAAUCAAGCCUGUCACCACUCCACAGGGGACAUCCAAAUUGCAGCUGUUUUACCAUUCGCCUUGUCUUCGCACUUGUUCUCCACCAGCUCUUUGCCUUCCCACUCUUUACUUCUGCCCGAUAGGAUCUUAGGCAGGAAAGACAAGUCGACCUUCCGUUUGCUUAUUAGUGGAUCCGGCGAUUUUUUCAUCACCUCUUCCCUCAGAGUCCUCGUGUACGUUCAUGUGAAUGUGAACGUAUUCACGGGGACGUCCUUAUUCAUCGAAUGAACCGCAAGAAUCCUCCUUCAUCGAGUCUUCACACUUCUUUUUCGUUCUUUCCAGUCAAGGACUUUGGUCGCCUUCUGACGGAAGCUGUGCAAGCCUGACAUGUUGACAUGGAUGCUGCAACAACCUGGAUUGACCCGUUUAUCGAACUGCAUCAACAUUACACAAUUCGACUGAGACUGAUGUGGUCGACCUUCCGUUUGCUUAUUAGUGGAUCCGGCGAUUUUUUCAUCACCUCUUCCCUCAGAGUCCUCGUGUACGUUCAUGUGAAUGUGAACGUAUUCACGGGGACGUCCUUAUUCAUCGAAUGAACCGCAAGAAUCCUCCUUCAUCGAGUCUUCACACUUCUUUUUCGUUCUUUCCAGUCAAGGACUUUGGCCGCCUUCUGAAGGAAGCUGUGCAAGCCUGACAUAGUGACAUGGAUGCUGCAACAACCUGGAUUGACCCGUUUAUCGAACUGCAUCAACAUUACACAAUUCGACUGAGACUGACGUGGUAAGUCACGCCCAAUUGGAUUCACUUUUUUGAUCAUGUAGAUUUCGAAGCCGAUGGCCAGUUAGUUCAAAGACUAUACUUGAUGUUAUCAAUAUUGUUUUGAAUUUGGACUGUGAUUGACGUGUUAGGGUUUGAUUUGCCGAAUAAUUGCUCGAGAAUUCCAAUCAUUUUUUCUCUGUACCGACACCGUCGUUGUAUUUUAGCAAUUCAAUUCUUUUAUAAGACGCUAAACUAUUGAUAAGGUAUAGUGAGUGAAACACAGACAUGGUCCACUAUGCUGCAACAAUUGUGAUUGGGAAUGAUCUUGCUGGUCAGUCGAG